GUCCCCAGGUUGUCUGGGCUGAACAUUCUGACUCCUUCAGGCUUUGAAGAAGAGACUUUGUAUGUUUAUGAUGGAAGAAACUUGUGCAGAGGUUAUUCGGGGGCAAAAAAGGAAAUUAAGAAAGCCUCUUUCUCUGUCAUGGAUUGUCCACACAUACAGAAACACAUACUUCCAGAAACAGCCAAAGAUCUGCAGUUCUCGCUGAAGCCCAUAUUUUAGGUUGUUCCUGACUUUACCUCAGCCCACCUCCUCCUCCUCCUCUGGCGAGAAACUGUUGGAGUGAACACAGAAAAAUCGUGAGGUGAGAGAAACAGUCGCCAGUGAAGUUGGUGAUACCUGUGAGGAAACAAGAAUGCAAAGACAGAAGUUAUGUGGGGCAGGAUUUGAAAGAAAGGACAGAGGAGAGAUUGGCCCCACCCACCCGCUGCCUCUCUGCCUUUGGUACCGUACCACAAAGAUUCAGAAAGGCAAUGGCAUAAAAGCAGAGAGUGUGACUUUGGCCAUCAACCAGGGAACUUGUACUUACAAAGUUCUUUUGAAUAGAAGCUAUCAGAACAAGGCAACAGAAAACAAUUCAAAUUUCUCAGAGUUUAACUCGCAACUUCUUCCAGCAUUGUAUUUAUCUAUGGAUAUAUUUUAAAGACUGAUAGGUAAAUUUCCAGUUUACAAGGAAUGGCAAUCUAUCUGUUCUCUCAAGAGAAAAAGAGAUACUUCUCCAAUUCUGGCAGGCUCCAUAAUUCCUAAGACCUCCAAGCCUGCACCAUCACUGCCCCAAGGAAGAUAGCCCAGUUUCUUCUCUACCUCAGGCGACAGAAAUCAGAAAGGAAAGGCGAGAAAGCACAAAGCAAUGCGCUGGUCCUGUCAAACGUCUUCCAAGAAGAGCAAAGUGUGUCAUUAGAACGUACGGAGAUAAUAAAAGUUUCGACAAGGCAUUAAGAAUUGAGGAAGCCCGGAAAAUAUGCAUUCGGAUUAAAAGACUUCAAUAAGAAGACAAAGCAACCCGAUUACAGGUACCGUGUGUUUGACUUUAGGAUCGCAACCUAUCUAAUCUCAGGAUUUAUUUUUUAUUUAUUUUUAUUUACAAGGAGCACUUCAGACGGUGUUUGCAUGUUAGUUCCCUCUGCCCUGUGGACUGAAUAACUUUGCGCCGCUGCCAUGCUCAGGGCACCUGUGCACGAGCUAACUAAGCGAGACAUCUUUCCUUGGAUCGCCCUCUUUGAUCGGGAACUCGUGUGUGCUUCGCGGUGCACGUCUAGUUCCAAGGUUUCUGCAGGCUUUGAGCAGCUAGACUCAGUCCCCUUCAGUCUUUGUCAGCAAAAUCUGUUCUGCCGGCUCCAAGGCUGACUUGAGCAAGCGUCGUAUAGACGUGAGAGAUUGUUGGGGAGCCAAAAUAUGACGCGGAAAGGGGCGGAGGAAGAAGAACGGACUUGCCGGCAUGAGAGGCAAAGAAGCUGGGGUUCAAAGGACACGCUUCCUGCAGAUCGCUCGGCAUUUACCUCUUUCGCUUCCCCUUUAACCCCACACCCACCACCGCUUUAUCAACUCUUGCUGGUGUGGUUGGUUCUGUGUUGAAGCGGACUCGGGUGGCGCUCUUCCCUGCCUGCGUCGCGGGCUCUUGGGCGAGAAAAGCGCCUCAACUCGGCGCUCUUUGCACCUGACAAGACCUAGAACAGCCCAGGCAAGGCGACGACCCCUCUCUGUAACCCACUCUUCCUGCUUGGUUUUGUUUGGGAACCGGCAAAGGCCGGCCUGGUUGCUUCUUGGGGAAAUCAGUCGAUCAUGUCUGUGAUGAGAGCGAGAAAGAAAGGGGGGGGGGCGCAUACACACACACACACACACACCCGCCAUUUCUGGAGUUGAAAGGACUCGGCUCUAGAAGCGCUGUUGACCCUCCCCCAGCCGAUGUCCACAGCCCACCUCUCCCCCAUCACCCCCAUCCGCUGCAGGUCCCUGCAAAUCCUUGAGCGAGAUGGAGCUGCAGUCAUUUCCCUGCUAUCUGGCUCCAAGUUCAAUACUAUUGGUGACAUUUUAAUUUUCUCUCCUCUCAAGCUGGUGAGCUUUGCGCGUUGCAGGGACAAGGGACAAAGCCGGCGAGGGUCACAGCGGCCGGUUCUGUCAGCCCAUCCCGCGGCCUCUGAUUGACGUACGUCUCUAUCCUAACCCCAGCAGCUAUCAGCAUCAAGCCCUACCUGAGCCUUUCCUAGGGCUGUCUGUGUGUGUCUCUGACAAGUCUCCGGCGGAGGGGGCGGGGAGAGAUGAAAUGGGAAUUGAUCAUUUUUCUGUCUACGAAUGCCGUUUAAAAAGCAACCAAUCAGUCCUCUCCCUCCCCUCUCUUGUAGGUAGCUCGCUCCUUCCUUCCUGUUUCUUUCUCCCAUCCCUCCCUUGUUUUUGUGUCCCUCCAUCUCUUGUUAGGCCCCCAUAUAGGUGAAUUUCCCUUCCCACAAAGGCCCACCACCCUUCCUUUACUGCUUCCUGCACACGCCCAACUCUGGCUCGGAUCAGGAGACAAUUUGAAUCUACCGGCCGCUACAGGUGACCCACCCGAAUCUCCAGAGCUUUUGGUCACCCCCUCGUAGCAUCCUGCCCUCACCUGAUUUCAUACUCUCUCACAGCCAAUAUCUCCCAGCUUCUGGUUUAGUUCCAGUAGCAAACUGACAGCCAGAUCCCAGGCCUGUUUAUAUCGCUAGUUCCAACGUGUUCAACGGACUCCCCGGUAGGCUGAUAGGGUCGCAGCCUUAAUCUUAGAGGGGAGAAGGAGGGGAAGGUAGCUAUUACUAGAAAUGUAAUAAGGCAUGCUAAUGGGGGAGGGAGAGGACAAAGCCCGUUUCUGUCUUUACUGGCCAAUUCCGUUUCUCUUUUCAGUUGUUUAAAAUAACUGUAGUUCUGUUUCAGAAAAAUUAAUCGGCCUUCAUGGUUUCCUUUACUGAUUGGAUUACCAAAAAAAAAAAAAAAAGGUUUACAUGCUAAUUAACCGGGAAACCUGGAUGAAGAAGAUGACAUGGUGGAUAUGUACCUAUUGUUAAACCUAUGGGCACGAUCCAGCCAAAGCUAAGCCCUUCCCACUGAUCCCUAUAAAACUCAUUUAAGUAGGUGACCAUUAAAAUGAACGGGCUUAAUUAAGGGUGUCUAGCUUUGAUUGGAUCCUGCCUUUUAUUUUGAUUUCCCUGCAGUUCUUUAUCCACAGGAUAGUUGUUGUAAAACCAAGAGCUUUGCACAAGGGUGGUACAAAUUCAGGUCAAUUCAUCAACUAGACAAAUGGAAGGAGUUGGAUUUAAACCAGUUUAGUCCCAUCCAUUUCAAUGAAAAUAAUGUGGUCUGGGUAGUCCAGUUUAACCGCGUUAUAACUCAAAAACAGGAAUGGAUUCGAACGGCAACUUCUUGAUGCAAGUGAGGUUUUCAAGUCCAAGGCUUGAGGCGGAGGCUUGUUCUGCUAGCGGUCUUGGUGACUCGGUCAUUCGCACUUGUAGGCCUACUUUGGCCCCAGUUAAUCUCACACACAUCCUCAAAAGAGCCAGAAGGCUGAAACAAGAUAGAUAUGCUGAGCAAUGCUUUGGAGGCGGGGAAGGGUGCCCAUAAAGACCGAGGCCAUUUGGAAGGAACUUUGGCUCCUUUGGCCUGGAAGAGCCGGGGGAUGCUGUCGUCGACAUUGCUGGGUCGCAGCUGGGGUCGAGCCAAGAGGAAGCUUUUCUUGGCUGGCCUGAGCCAGGAACUGAUCGACAACAGAUCAAAUGUCUGGCGACGUAAUAAGGCCGGCUCUCGCGGAACUCUGGCAUCCAAGAGCAAGCCGUUCUCGGAGCCUGGCCUGGCCUUUCGCUCCGCGGCGGCGGGGUGCGCAGCGCGGUCCGGGGAGAGGCGGGUGGAGCCAGCCUGCACUUGGGCACAGAAGGCACUGCGCCGCCGGGCGGUGUCACUUGCUGGACUCAAGUUACUUCUGGAAGCAAAGCUCGCGGGGAUCCUCUCAGGUCCUGAUUUGAACUCCUUCCCAGUCGCCUUUUAUAGGGAAGAAAUUCGGGCGGGGGGGGGGCAACGAGGCCCCUGUUUCCCUUCCAAGAGCUCUCUCCUGGUCCCGCUUUCCCUGCGGGUCGUAGUUCUAUUCACAACCCCGCUUUGAUUUCCUGUCAUCACCGACCCACCACCUCAGCUUGUCCUUGCUCGUGAAGGAGGGACGAGCCAGCCCAGCUCGGUUGGGUCCCUUCUUCGGCCGCGCUUUACCCACUUCCCUUGGGCAGUCAAAGUGGGACUGGAAAGACACCCACUGCAUAUGCACUGUAAAAGUUUAACAGCGGUUGCAGCCAGGGGUGCUUCAAAAUUGCAAAGUUAAAUAUUUGUUUUUAAUUUUCUGGCUCAGAAAUUUUAACUGCCAGGCAAAGGCUGCUCCUGCGGCUGCUCUAAUGGGCUUGCAUAAAUAGUUUUGUUAUUACCACUUGUCUGCUAAAACAACAUUGGCUCCGCAUCCUGACACAUCGUAUUUAAAAACCUGGCAGCCAGGAGAAAUCUCUCAUCUAAUGUGAGGGGGGUGGGGGGAGCGACAGUGAAAUGAAUUUGCUUCCGUGUUGGGGGCGGGCGGGGUAAGGAAAGCUGGGCCGAGCGACUUAUACAGUCAGUUCGAAAAAAUUAACAAAACACGGCGCUUCUAUUAGUUUUUAAUUAGAUUUUGUGAUUUUCGACAUGUUUAAAGGACAAAACUGUGUGCUUAUGGAGGAAGACUUCCGCAGGAAUCUAUUUGAUUAAAUAUAUUUACUAUG
This is a long non-coding RNA of Hemicordylus capensis (graceful crag lizard), 4745 nucleotides long. RefSeq lists it as uncharacterized. Lineage: Eukaryota; Metazoa; Chordata; Lepidosauria; Squamata; Cordylidae. The record is from RefSeq and is a predicted model, not a curated record. The transcript is spliced from 5 exons.